AUCAAGCUAAUAAGGGCGUAUGGUGGAUGCCUUGGCACCAGUCGGCGAUGAAGGACGCGGGUAGCUGCGAAAAGUCUCGGGGAGCUGCUAAUCAAGCAUUGAUCCGGGAAUGUCCGAAUGGGGAAACCCGGCGGGAGUAAAUAACCCGUCAUCGCGCGCUGAACACAUAGGCGCGACGAAGCGAACGAGGGGAAGUGAAACAUCUCAGUACCCUCAGGAAAAGAAAGUAAACAAACGAUUCCCCAAGUAGUGGCGAGCGAAAGGGGACGAGCCCAAACCACGUGUGCGUGAUAGGCUGCGACCGUUUCACAUGUGGGGUUGUGGGUGUCUGUUUGAGUCUCUUGCAGGAGUCUCGGGAAGUUACAAAGGCAAUGGCUAGCUGAAGCUUCUGGGAAGGAGCGUCACAGAGGGUGACAACCCCGUAAGCGAAAGCCAGUGCCCUUCCUUACAGACCACCCGAGUACCGCGGGACACGAGAAAUCCCGUGGGAAGCCGGAAGGACCAUCUUCCAAGGCUAAAUACGAGCUGGUGACCGAUAGUGAACAAGUACCGUGAGGGAAAGGUGAAAAGCACCCCGUUGAGGGGGGUGAAAUAGUCUCUGAAACCAUGCGCCUACAAUCUGUGGGAGCCCUAUGGCCUUCGGGCAAGGGGUGACUGCGUGCCUUUUGCAUAAUGAGUCAGCGAGUUACUUUGUGCAGCGAGGUUAAGCCGAGAGAGGUGGAGCCGAAGCGAAAGCGAGUCUGAAUAGGGCGACGAAGUUGCACGGAGUAGACCCGAAACCGAGUGAUCUAUCCAUGUCCAGGGUAAAGCUGGGGUAAGACCCAGUGGAGGCCCGAACCGUAGAAAGUUGAAAAUUUCCCGGAUGAGGUGUGGAUAGGGGUGAAAGGCCAAUCAAACUCGGUGAUAGCUGGUUCUCCCCGAAAUAUAUUGAGGUAUAGCCUCGCACGGUAGCCAACGGAGGUAGAGCACUGGAUGGGCUAGGGCCCUUACCGGGGUACCAAACCUAACCAAACUCCGAAUGCCGUUGGUGGAACUGCGGGAGUCAGACUGCGGGGGAUAAGCUCCGUAGUCGAGAGGGAAAAAGCCCAGACCUACAGCUAAGGUCCCAAAAUCCAUGCUAAGUGGGAAAGGAUGUGGGACUGCCCGGACAGCCAGGAGGUUGGCUUAGAAGCAGCCAUCCUUUAAAGAAAGCGUAAUAGCUCACUGGUCGAGCGGGCCUGCGCCCAAGAUGUAACGGGGCUCAAGCAUGGUACCGAAGCUUAGGAUUUGCACUUUAGUGCAAGUGGUAGGGGAGCGUUCUUUCAGGGAAGAAGCCUGACCGUAAGGACAGGUGGACUUGAAGGAAGUGCUUAUGCUGACAUGAGUAGCGAUAAAGCGGGUGAGAAUCCCGCUCGCCGAAAACCCAAGGUUUCCUGGGGAAGGUUCGUCCGCCCAGGGUAAGUCGACACCCUAAGCCGAGGCCGAAAGGCGUAGGUGAUGGGAAACAGGUUAAUAUUCCUGUACCACCGCACUCGCGUUACCACCGAAGGGGGGACGCAGAAGGGCAGGUCAGCCGGGUAAUGGAUGUCCCGGUUUAAGCGUGUAGGCGGGGAGCCCAGGCAAAUCCGGGUUCCCAUUAAAACGCCGAGGCGUGACGACGAGGCCGCUUUAGGCCGAAGUGACUGAUCCCACGCUGCCGAGAAAAGCCCCUAGGGAGUUAGUGAGGUGAACGUACCGCAAACCGACACAGGUGGGUGAGGAGAGAAUCCUAAGGCGCGUGAGAGAACUCUGGCUAAGGAACUCGGCAAAAUAACACCGUAACUUCGGGAGAAGGUGUGCCCUCCCGUGUGAAAGGACUUGCUCCUGGAGCAUAAGAGGGUUGCAGAGAAAUGGCGGUAGCGACUGUUUAUCAAAAACACAGGACUCUGCUAAGUCGCAAGACGAUGUAUAGGGUCUGACGCCUGCCCGGUGCCGGAAGGUUAAGGAGAGAGGUUAGCGCAAGCGAAGCUUUGAACCGAAGCCCCGGUAAACGGCGGCCGUAACUAUAACGGUCCUAAGGUAGCGAAAUUCCUUGUCGGGUAAGUUCCGACCUGCACGAAUGGCGUAACGACUUCCGCACUGUCUCAGCCAGAGACUCAGCGAAAUUGAAGUGGCGGUGAAAAUACCGUCAACCCGCGACAAGACGGAAAGACCCCGUGAACCUUUACUAUAGCUUGGCAAUGGAUUUCGGGUCAGCAUGUGUAGGAUAGGUGGGAGACAAUGAAACCGGGACGCUAGUUUCGGUGGAGUCAACCUUGAAAUACCACCCUUGCUGUUCUGGGAUUCUAACCUGGAUCCGUAAUCCGGAUCAGGGACAUUGCCUGGUGGGUAGUUUGACUGGGGCGGUCGCCUCCCAAAAAGUAACGGAGGCGCGCGAAGGUUCCCUCAGACGGAUUGGAAACCCGUCGUCGAGUGCAAAGGCAUAAGGGAGCUUAACUGCGAGACAAACAAGUCGAGCAGAUGCGAAAGCAGGUCUUAGUGAUCCGGCGGUUCCGCAUGGAAGGGCCGUCGCUCAACGGAUAAAAGGUACUCCGGGGAUAACAGGCUGAUACCCCCCAAGAGUCCACAUCGACGGGGGUGUUUGGCACCUCGAUGUCGGCUCGUCACAUCCCGGGGCUGGAGCAGGUCCCAAGGGUUCGGCUGUUCGCCGAUUAAAGUGGUACGCGAGCUGGGUUCAGAACGUC
This 2702-nucleotide ribosomal RNA is filed under the name bacterium. RNAcentral's name for it is "partial 23S ribosomal RNA". It matches the Rfam family "Bacterial large subunit ribosomal RNA", at positions 1 to 2620 of the family's 2925-position model. The record is from RNAcentral.